RNAcentral lists this ribosomal RNA (253 nucleotides) under uncultured bacterium. RNAcentral describes it as "partial 16S ribosomal RNA". It matches the Rfam family "Bacterial small subunit ribosomal RNA", at positions 524 to 776 of the family's 1533-position model. The record is from RNAcentral.
GACGAACCGUGCGAACGUUAUUCGGAAUCACUGGGCUUAAAGGGCGCGUAGGCGGGCCACCAAGUCAGGGGUGAAAGCCUCCGGCUCAACCGGAGAAGUGCCUUUGAUACUGGUGGCCUAGAGGGAGGUAGGGGCCUGCGGAACUUCCGGUGGAGCGGUGAAAUGCGUAGAUAUCAGGAGGAACACCGGUGGUGUAGACGGCUAACUGGACCACGACUGACGCUGAGGCACGAAAGCGUGGGUAGCAAACAGG